GCACCCCUACGGGGCGCAGCAGUGAGGAAUAUUGGUCAAUGGACGAGAGUCUGAACCAGCCAUGCCGCGUGCAGGAAGACGGCUCUAUGAGUUGUAAACUGCUUUUGUACAAGGGUAAACCUGAAUACGUGUAUUCAGCUGAAAGUACUGUACGAAUAAGGAUCGGCUAACUCCGUGCCAGCAGCCGCGGUAAUACGGAGGAUCCAAGCGUUAUCCGGAUUUAUUGGGUUUAAAGGGUGCGUAGGCGGAUUGAUAAGUUAGAGGUGAGAUGUCCGGGCUCAACUCGGGAACUGCCUCUAAUCCUG
Molecule: ribosomal RNA, 305 nt
Filed under: uncultured bacterium
Lineage: Bacteria
Description: bacterial SSU rRNA
Rfam family: Bacterial small subunit ribosomal RNA
Source: RNAcentral